This is a long non-coding RNA of Oryzias melastigma (Indian medaka), 1553 nucleotides long. RefSeq lists it as uncharacterized. The transcript is spliced from 3 exons. The record is from RefSeq and is a predicted model, not a curated record. Lineage: Eukaryota; Metazoa; Chordata; Actinopteri; Beloniformes; Adrianichthyidae.
CAGCAUGCGCGUGCAAGCCACUAUUGACAAUCGAGCCCAAUUAAUCAAUCAAUCAAUGAAUCAAUCAAUCACCUGUGGUUUGCUUAAAGAGCACUGUCUCCCCGUGAUGUCAUCACGGUUAAAUCAACCACGUCUGGAGACACAAGGACGAACAAGUGCGUCGCUGUCACCAAAUGGCACAAUUUGCGUCUCCAAAAUCUAAAUGUCCACUCACGCGCCCCGCAGCCCGGCGUCAUGAGCUGUCUGGCUCCAGGUGAAGCAGCCAGACCUCACGUCCUCUGACUCAAUCUCCAGAAUACUAACCAGACAGAGGGGGAGACGGGGAGGGUUACGUCAAUUGCCAUAUCUCCACCACAGCGCACGUUAACGCAAACUUCCACACCUUGCAGCGCCACCAGGUAAACACUUGUUUUUAGCCGCAACUCCGGAGCAACUUGCAGUUGGCGAAGUGGCGUUAACUUCAGCCAAGAGGUUGAACGGGGACACGCGAAACGCACGCGAACAUCCAGAUGGUGAAUGGAAUAACGCACGGAGACGCGUGCGGAGCGGAGGCACUUGUCGCCGGCGGAGGUCAAUGCAGCCGCCGCCGCUCGUGCAGCCCGGCAAAUCAACACGGCGCUGACGUCAACGCAGCCAGACGAGCAGCAGGCAGGCAGGCAGGCGGGCAGGCGGGCAGACAGGAAGGCAGGCGGGCAGACGGCGCUGCGCUCCAGCCCAUACAAACACUGAGAAAGUGAGACACCUAGGGGGCUGUCUCGUGUCAGACCGCUCCAGUACAGCAGGGAAGGAAAGUUUAUAGAUGGAGGAAGACGACUGGCUGAGGCAACCCCUGAAGGAAGCAGCUAAAAGGAAAAGAAGACAAAUAUAUAAAUAUAUUUUUUUAAAUCACAGCUGACAUAACACCUCCUCCUACAACAUUUGUUGCAUUGAGAUGAUCCAAUGUGAACCAGCUUGACUUUUAUUUUGAAAGGAAGUCAUGUUAACUUCUGUCAAAAAUUGCAAACUAUUUCCUAUUUUGAGAAUCGUAUCCUUAUCAAAAUAAAUUCAAAUAAUACAAACUUUUUUCAUGUUCUUGCUAGUAGUAUUUUUUUAACUAGAAAUGUAAUUUGUUGUUUGUUUUAAGUUUAUAGAUGGAGGCAGGUGAUUGGCUGAGGCAACCUCUAAAGGAAGCAGCUAAAAGGAAAAGAAGACAAACUUAUUAUUUUUUUUUAUCACAGCUGACAUAACACCUCCUCCUACAUUUGCUGCGUUGAGAUGAUCCCACGUGAACCAGCUUGACUUUUAUUUUGAAAGGAAGUCAUGUUAACUUCUCUCAAACUAUUUCUUUAUGUUACAGUUUUAUCAUACUAGUAUCAAUAAUAUAAAUACAAAUCUGUGUCUUAUUUUUCUAAAAAGUAAAGUACGACUGUCUGGUUUGUUUUUGGAGAAAAAUCGACUCGAUUGGCUUUUUUUUUUUAAGUAUUGAUCGUUGCAAAGCCUUCAACUAAAUAAAAAUAUAAACUCAGUCUGACAUUAUGAUGUAAUGUGUCACAAAAUAAAUGCAAAUAACUCAA